UGGAGCCAUUUCCUCUUGCAGCUCGUCAUCUUCACUGGAAGCACUUUGUUCGUCAUUCAACUGUUCCUGUUCUAAUUUGGACGAUGGAUGAGCAUCACCUUCAACAUGGACAACCUCAUCCUCGUCAUUCAUUAGGAAAACAAUCAUGCCUUCAUUCCGAACAAAGAUUUUUAUUGUCGAAUUUUAGUGCCAUUGAAAGAGGCUAAAUAUCCACCUUGAUGUCCAAGACAGAGCCAGUAAAAGAAAAAAAAUGAUUACGGACAGGUUGUUAAAGUACGUUAGAUAUUGGAAGAAGCAUCGCGGAGAGCCAUGAAAGAUCCAAGAAAUGGAUGCAAAAAAAAUCGAUCAUUGCAUCAAGUAGGGGAUUGCUAUGCCAUUUCAAAACUAAAGAGACAAAUGAAACAGUCCAGGCUACUAGAGCAAUUAAGCAACGAAGGAAAUAGAAACUUACCUGUGAUUUCACCACCGGAUGCAGUCCUAAGCGACCCGGACAUGGAAAACGGAAAUGUCUUAUCUCUUUCCAAGAUACAAAGGACAGGAACCCAACCUUAUGAAACGCGUUCAAGCAUACGUCAGAUGAGAUGCUCGCGUGUAAUCCAGGGACAUGUCAAGGGAUAGCUUCACAGAAUUCCAAUUUACUGGAUAUUUGUACAGAUUGCCCUUGGAUCAGUAAGCGAAAAAAGCCUAACGUACCGGAAUUUGGACGGCGACAUCCAAUGUCGAUCUGUCAUGUCAAUGAAUGCUUUUGUGAACACGGAAGCUGAAAAAAUGAUGAAAUUGUAGCUACAACAUCGACGAUACAUUUUUUGAAUCCAGAGCAGGAGCUGCCGUGACAAGCCAGGGAUGGCAGCAAUGACGAGAUUGCUUAUAUGCCGAAAAAGUUCGUAUCAUCUUUGUUAAAUAUCCGCAACUACUUUGCCUGAGGAAAAUCGGCUCAUUUUUACGGGAUAUUUAGUUCCAAGUUAUAUCGAGCAAUUUCCUCUGCAUACAAAUUUGGGCGAGCUGAAGGGAGACCUAAACAAACUGAGAAGCCUACUAGGAAACCAACUCUGCAGAGAAGCUUCGAUCAAAUGUAAAGCUUUUGGGAGGAUAUAAACGUGGAUGAGAUCUAUUCCGUAGUCAUUUUUUUCUUUUCGUUAGAAAUGGUGAGCACAGCGGUGCCCAAAAGUAAGCACUAGAAUGAAGUGUUUUCGACUCCGUGUUGAUCUC
Long non-coding RNA from Daphnia carinata, 1209 nucleotides. RefSeq lists it as uncharacterized. The record is from RefSeq and is a predicted model, not a curated record. The transcript is spliced from 7 exons. Lineage: Eukaryota; Metazoa; Arthropoda; Branchiopoda; Diplostraca; Daphniidae.